UAACGAAUCUUCCCCAAUGCACGAAAGUGUGAGGGAGCGACGCUGCGUGGAGGAUGAAGUCCUUCGGGAUGUAAACUCCUGUCAAGGGAUACCAAGUUCUGAGGAUCCCUAAAGGAAGAGGCGGCUAACUCUGUGCCAGCAGCCGCGGUAAUACAGAGGCCUCGAGCGUUAGGCGGAAUCACUGGGCUUAAAGCGUGUGUAGGCGGAUCGUUAAGUGUCUUGUGAAAUCCCACGGCUCAACCGUGGAACUGCUCGACAUACUGGCGGUCUUGAGCUACCUAAGGGCAACUGGAACAGACGGUGGAGCGGUGAAAUGCGUAGAUAUCGUCUGGAACGCCAAUGGUGAAGACAGGUUGCUGGGGGUAUGCUGACGCUGAGACACGAAAGCCAGGGGAGCAAACGGGAUUAGAUACCCCCGUAGUCC
This 424-nucleotide ribosomal RNA is filed under the name uncultured bacterium. Its description in RNAcentral is "bacterial SSU rRNA". It matches the Rfam family "Bacterial small subunit ribosomal RNA", at positions 355 to 796 of the family's 1533-position model. The record is from RNAcentral.